CUAUUUCCUCCCUCAUCUCUACUAGAGCUUUGCUGCCAGUGGAAAGAGCUGCAGCUGCUACAAAGGAGAGGCAGUAAUGCUAAUGGGUUUAUUCUGUGAACUAAAGUCUGAGGGUCUCCUUCUGUGACUCGAUUGUGAAGAAGACCAGUCUGACUUGAGAGGCAGAACACUUGAGCAAAACAAUGUGCUGUGGGACUCAAGAGCAGCUGGAGGAAGGAGCUACCUCUGAUGGGCUACCUGGUUGAUGAUUACAGAUCCAUUGCUCACUGUUGAUCUUGUUUUCCCGAGGGAUGACUCUUUACCAGACUACUAUCACUUCAGCUGAAGACUUUCUCUGAAUUUGCUUUUCUAAAGACGAUAGCAAGAGCAUGGCUGAGAGGUACUUCAGGAAACAUAUUUUGUUCUAACUUUGAAUGCCUGUGUCAAAAGAUGAUCAUCCAAAUGCAAAGAACAUUGCAACGAUGUCUCUGACAGGAAGAGCAGGAAAAGCAGUCUCUGUUUGAAGAAGGAGAAUCAAAAUUUAUCUCCUGGUACAAUUCCACUGAAGUCAGCAGAGGUACUGCAAGCUUGACUGUCUGGAAAUUUCUUCUUCCAGAAUCUUCAGCCCCGAGGAAAUAUUUCUCAAUGGUGAGGAACCCUUUCUUUAAAAAACUGCCUUCAAAAGCCCAGAGCUCAUGGGGCUGCUGGACCUCCUUCUGCACCAUUCCUAAAGCGUGAAACAUCUAAUCGUCGAAGUGCCUAAAACUCACAGAAGUCCUUAUCUUUGAUAUAGGAAGCCUGAGAAACCACUGCCUUUGGGUCCUGAUUUUCCCCUAGGAACAAGGAACUCCAAAUGUCUCAUCGCAGAUCUUUUGUUAAAGCUUUAAAAUGUGUUUGGAUUUGUCCUUUAAAACUCCAGAUCAGUCUAAUUAAAGCAAAAUGAAUCCUCUUUAUUGAUUCCAGAAAGAUUUAGCUUAACAGCCCUGUCUCUAGAAAGAAGAUAACACAACAUAUUAGGACGUCUUUGCUUUUCCGUGCAGUCGUAUCAUGCUAGACAAAAUAAAAGUUAACUUCUUGUAACCAGCAUCACCCAUCUCCAAAACCAGACUAUCAUUCAUUUUACUAUUCCAGAUGCCUCAAUGUUGUCUUAGAAUGCUGUGACAAUU
Molecule: long non-coding RNA, 1145 nt
Organism: Pezoporus occidentalis (night parrot)
Lineage: Eukaryota; Metazoa; Chordata; Aves; Psittaciformes; Psittacidae
Exons: 8
Source: RefSeq, a predicted model, not a curated record